RNAcentral lists this small RNA (121 nucleotides) under Marmota monax (woodchuck). The record is from RNAcentral. Lineage: Eukaryota; Metazoa; Chordata; Mammalia; Rodentia; Sciuridae.
GCCAGGUGUGGUGGUGCACAUCUGUAAUCCCGGUGACUUUGGAGGCUGAGGCAGGAGGAUCACAAAUUCAAGGCCAGCAGCUCAGCAAGACUCUGAGUAACUUAGUGAGACCCUGCCUAUC